Molecule: ribosomal RNA, 219 nt
Filed under: uncultured bacterium
Lineage: Bacteria
Description: partial 16S ribosomal RNA
Rfam family: Bacterial small subunit ribosomal RNA
Source: RNAcentral
UACGUAGGGCGCAAGCGUUGUCCGGAAUUAUUGGGCGUAAAGAGCUCGUAGGUGGUGUGUCGCGUCUGCCGUGAAAGCCCGGGGCUUAACUCCGGGUCUGCGGUGGAUACGGGCAGACUAGAGGCAGGUAGGGGAGAACGGAAUUCCCGGUGUAGCGGUGAAAUGCGCAGAUAUCGGGAGGAACACCGGUGGCGAAGGCGGGUUCUCUGGGCCCUGUAC